This 63-nucleotide transfer RNA is filed under the name Pauropus longiramus. Its description in RNAcentral is "tRNA-Gly". The record is from RNAcentral. Lineage: Eukaryota; Metazoa; Arthropoda; Pauropoda; Tetramerocerata; Pauropodidae.
ACCUUAUUAGUAUAAUAAGUAUUAUUAACUUCCAAUUAAUAGGUUUUAUAGGGUAAUCCUGUU